AAACCAGCCUGAUUUUACGAGGCCUUUCAGCUCUUGGCAGAGCCCCCUGCUCAGGCGCAGCACUUGAGACGUGGUUGCUCCGGCCGGGUUCAGGCGCUCGGUGCCUGCGGGCACGGGGUGAGACGGGGCCGCGGGGUGUCCCCAGCCUCUGCUGCCCCCUGCUCAGGCCACCCGACCCUCAGCACCCAGCACGUGGGGUCCCCACCUCGACCCCAAUUUUAAGGCGUUAGAAUGACCCAAGAACCAAGCUAAGUGGUUUUUCUUUUUUUUUUUUUUAAUAUAUGACAAUUUUUCAUUUUGUGUUUUAAUCCCUGCGCCUUUCUCUUCGACCAGAAAAAAAGAACCGGAGACCAAGAAGCUAGAAAAUCGGAGAUUGCUUUUGCGUACUGAAAACCCAGAAGCUUCCCAUCCUCGCCUGCUGCCCUGGGCUCUGCUGUCGCCUUCGACUGCUCCUCCCCGUGCCCUCUCCCUGCUGUCGCCCCAUCCCGGCCGCGUUUUGGCUCUCGGAGGAGGUGCUGGAGCCUCUCCGGAGCAGCCCGGGGACGGGCAGGGAUCCGAGAGCCAGGAAAUCCCGAUUUCUGCCUCCACACCUGAAGCCGAGCCCUUUCCGCAGCCUCCCCGUGCCUUCCCGUGUGUCUUCGUCCCACCAGCACGUGGCCGCCCCGGCUGGAUGCUGCCUGCUUCCUGCGCGGGGCUGCGGGCGGCGGUGCCGUGGGGCUGCUGCUGGGGCACCCGCGGGCUUCCAGCGGGGCCGCCACGCGACGUUACCUCCACGCAAAGCCCGUCAGGACAUUUCUGAGGGGGUUUUAAGGUUUGCCAUAAAAAAAUGGGACUCCACUGACCCAAAGCUCGGUCUCAGGUGUGCGGGUGCAGCCGGGGCUCGGGAGCACCGCAGGCGCCAGCCUCCAGCUGCAGCAGGAGCUGCCCGAAAAUGCCGAUCAGAAACCUGCCCAAACCGGGAUUUACAAUAUCUUGGUUGACAAAUUUUAUUCGUUUCUUUCUUUUUUUUUUUUUCUCCUUCCUGGGGAAGUUU
This 1033-nucleotide long non-coding RNA is filed under the name Anser brachyrhynchus (Pink-footed goose). RNAcentral describes it as "lncRNA (ENSABRG00000008523.1)". Lineage: Eukaryota; Metazoa; Chordata; Aves; Anseriformes; Anatidae. The record is from RNAcentral.